UACGUAGGUCCCGAGCGUUCCGGAUUUAUUGGGCGUAAAGCGAGCGCAGGUGGUUUAUUAAGUCCGGUGUAAAAGGCAGUGGCUCAACCAUUGUAUGCAUUGGAAACUGGUAGACUUGAGUGCAGGAGAGGAGAGUGGAAUUCCAUGUGUAGCGGUGAAAUGCGUAGAUAUAUGGAGGAACACCGGUGGCGAAAGCGGCUCUCUGGCCUGUAACUGACACUAAGGCUCGAAAGCGUGGGGAGCAAACAGG
RNAcentral lists this ribosomal RNA (250 nucleotides) under uncultured bacterium. RNAcentral's name for it is "partial 16S ribosomal RNA". It matches the Rfam family "Bacterial small subunit ribosomal RNA", at positions 524 to 776 of the family's 1533-position model. The record is from RNAcentral.